RNAcentral lists this ribosomal RNA (679 nucleotides) under Debaryomyces hansenii. RNAcentral's name for it is "partial large subunit ribosomal RNA". It matches the Rfam family "Eukaryotic large subunit ribosomal RNA", at positions 220 to 918 of the family's 3401-position model. Lineage: Eukaryota; Fungi; Ascomycota; Pichiomycetes; Serinales; Debaryomycetaceae. The record is from RNAcentral.
CCCGUGCGAUGAGAUGCCCAAUUCUAUGUAAAGUGCUUUCGAAGAGUCGAGUUGUUUGGGAAUGCAGCUCUAAGUGGGUGGUAAAUUCCAUCUAAAGCUAAAUAUUGGCGAGAGACCGAUAGCGAACAAGUACAGUGAUGGAAAGAUGAAAAGAACUUUGAAAAGAGAGUGAAAAAGUACGUGAAAUUGUUGAAAGGGAAGGGCUUGAGAUCAGACUUGGUAUUUUGCGAUCCUUUCCUUCUUGGUUGGGUUCCUCGCAGCUUACUGGGCCAGCAUCGGUUUGGAUGGUAGGAUAAUGACUAAGGAAUGUGGCUCUACUUCGGUGGAGUGUUAUAGCCUUGGUUGAUACUGCCUGUCUAGACCGAGGACUGCGUCUUUUGACUAGGAUGUUGGCAUAAUGAUCUUAAGCCACCCGUCUUGAAACACGGACCAAGGAGUCUAACGUCUAUGCGAGUGUUUGGGUGUAAAACCCGUACGCGUAAUGAAAGUGAACGUAGGUGAGAGCUCUUAAGAGUGCAUCAUCGACCGAUCCUGAUGUCUUCGGAUGGAUUUGAGUAAGAGCAUAGCUGUUGGGACCCGAAAGAUGGUGAACUAUGCCUGAAUAGGGUGAAGCCAGAGGAAACUCUGGUGGAGGCUCGUAGCGGUUCUGACGUGCAAAUCGAUCGUCGAAUUUGGGUAU